Molecule: ribosomal RNA, 887 nt
Filed under: Calonectria insularis
Lineage: Eukaryota; Fungi; Ascomycota; Sordariomycetes; Hypocreales; Nectriaceae
Also listed under: 2 other names
Description: eukaryotic LSU rRNA
Rfam family: Eukaryotic large subunit ribosomal RNA
Source: RNAcentral
AAAGAAACCAACAGGGAUUGCCCUAGUAACGGCGAGUGAAGCGGCAACAGCUCAAAUUUGAAAUCUGGCCCUCGGGUCCGAGUUGUAAUUUGUAGAGGAUGCUUUUGGUGAGGUACCUUCCGAGUUCCCUGGAACGGGACGCCAUAGAGGGUGAGAGCCCCGUCUGGUUGGAUACCAAACCUCUGUAAAGCUCCUUCGACGAGUCGAGUAGUUUGGGAAUGCUGCUCUAAAUGGGAGGUAUAUGUCUUCUAAAGCUAAAUACCGGCCAGAGACCGAUAGCGCACAAGUAGAGUGAUCGAAAGAUGAAAAGCACUUUGAAAAGAGAGUUAAAAAGUACGUGAAAUUGUUGAAAGGGAAGCGCUUAUGACCAGACUUGGACUUGGUUGAUCAUCCUGGGUUCUCCCUGGUGCACUCUUCCAGUUCAGGCCAGCAUCAGUUCGCUGCGGGGGAUAAAAGUUUUGGGAAUGUGGCUCCCUCGGGAGUGUUAUAGCCCAUUUCAUAAUACCCUGCUCCGGACUGAGGUUCGCGCAUCUGCAAGGAUGCUGGCGUAAUGGUCAUCAGCGACCCGUCUUGAAACACGGACCAAGGAGUCGUCUUCGUAUGCGAGUGUUCGGGUGUUAAACCCCUACGCGUAAUGAAAGUGAACGCAGGUGAGAGCUUCGGCGCAUCAUCGACCGAUCCUGAUGUUCUCGGAUGGAUUUGAGUAAGAGCAUACGGGGCCGGACCCGAAAGAAGGUGAACUAUGCCUGUAUAGGGUGAAGCCAGAGGAAACUCUGGUGGAGGCUCGCAGCGGUUCUGACGUGCAAAUCGAUCGUCAAAUAUGGGCAUGGGGCGAAAGACUAAUCGAACCUUCUAGUAGCUGGUUUCCGCCGAAGUUUCCCUCAGGA